UACAGAGGUGGCAAGCGUUGUUCGGAAUUACUGGGCGUAAAGGGCGCGUAGGCGGCCUUCUAAGUCAGACGUGAAAUCCCCCGGCUUAACCUGGGAACUGCGUCUGAUACUGGGAGGCUUGAGUAUGGGAGAGGGAUGUAGAAUUCCAGGUGUAGCGGUGAAAUGCGUAGAGAUGUGGAGGAAUACCGAUGGCGAAGGCAGCCUCCUGGGCCAACACUGACGCUCAUGCACGAAAGCGUGGGGAGCAAACAGG
RNAcentral lists this ribosomal RNA (253 nucleotides) under uncultured bacterium. RNAcentral describes it as "partial 16S ribosomal RNA". It matches the Rfam family "Bacterial small subunit ribosomal RNA", at positions 524 to 776 of the family's 1533-position model. The record is from RNAcentral.